GCCGGAAUGGUGGAAUUGGUAGACACGCAGGUUUUAGGUACCUGUGCCCUAGGGCGUGGGGGUUCAAGUCCCCCUUCCGGCA
RNAcentral lists this transfer RNA (82 nucleotides) under Nocardioides sp. Its description in RNAcentral is "tRNA-Leu". It matches the Rfam family "tRNA". Rfam says of the family: Transfer RNA (tRNA) molecules are approximately 80 nucleotides in length. Their secondary structure includes four short double-helical elements and three loops (D, anti-codon, and T loops). The record is from RNAcentral. Lineage: Bacteria; Bacillati; Actinomycetota; Actinomycetes; Propionibacteriales; Nocardioidaceae.